GUUGAACGCUGGCGGCAUGCUUUACACAUGCAAGUCGGACGGCAGCGGGGUAGUGCUUGCACUACUGCCGGCGAGUGGCGAACGGGUGAGGAAUAUAUUGGAACGUACCGAGUAAUGGGGGAUAACCAAUCGAAAGAUUGGCUAAUACCGCAUACGCUCUGAGGAGGAAAGCAGGGGACCUUCGGGCCUUGCGUUAUUCGAGCGGGCAAUAUCUUAGUAGCGAGUUGGUGGGGUAAGGGCCUACCAAGGCGACGAUCAGUAGCGGGUCUGAGAGGAUGAUCCGCUAGACUGGCAGUGAGGAACGGCCGCGACUCCCACGCGGGGACGCAGUGGGGACUCUUAGACAAUGGGGGAAAGCCUGAUCCAGCCCUGCCGCGUGUCUGCAGAAGGCCUUCGGGUUGUAAAGGAAUUUUGUUAGGGAAGAAAAAGGAGCGGUUAAUCCCCGAUUCUGAUGACGGUACCUAAAGAAUAAGCCCCGGCUAACUACGUG
RNAcentral lists this ribosomal RNA (490 nucleotides) under uncultured bacterium. RNAcentral's name for it is "partial 16S ribosomal RNA". It matches the Rfam family "Bacterial small subunit ribosomal RNA", at positions 28 to 507 of the family's 1533-position model. The record is from RNAcentral.